Molecule: transfer-messenger RNA, 369 nt
Filed under: Atopobiaceae
Lineage: Bacteria; Bacillati; Actinomycetota; Coriobacteriia; Coriobacteriales
Also listed under: 5 other names
Description: NM07-P-09 sp004793665 Standard tmRNA
Rfam family: transfer-messenger RNA
About the family: Bacterial tmRNA, also known as 10Sa RNA or SsrA, is named for its dual tRNA and mRNA-like properties. Its role is to liberate the mRNA from a stalled ribosome.
Source: RNAcentral
GGGGGCGACUGGUUUCGACUGGAUGGUCCUGAGGUGGGAAGCAAGCCGUGGUCUCCUCGCCACGUUAAACAGGGGUACCGUCAAAUUCAAUUGACGACACUGAGUUCUCUGGGCAGUAUGCCCUCGCUGCUUAGUCUUAACUAACCAGCGCGCCGAGCACGGGCUCGCUCCUGGUCCGUGCAAGGUGUCAUCUUAGGGAGAUGCGCCUGCGGACGUGGUCGGUAUGCCGCAGGCUAAGAUGGAACCGACUGGAGCCGGGUGCGUGGGCCACCGUACCAGCCCGGCUCGAGACCCGAUCGGUGGCUGAGCUUGGAGAUGCCCGCCAGGGGGCCAUGUAGGACCGGAGUUCGAUUCUCCGCGCCUCCACCA